CAACCCCUCAACAGCAACAUUGCACCCCAUCAGACUAGCUGGUGUCACAGGAGUGAAGAGGCCUCACCUUUGUGUCUUGAGGAAUCAACAAGAGUCAUCAGCGCCUCAAAGUUUAAUGGAAAUUGGGACCCACUGAGAGAGAGAAUUCCUGUGGACCUGCCUGAACUGAAGCUUUGGAUUCACUAACUGGAAAUCCUUCUGUUGUCACAUUCUGUUGUUACUUCACUGUAAAUAAACGCACUGAACUUAA
This is a long non-coding RNA of Pundamilia nyererei, 250 nucleotides long. RefSeq lists it as uncharacterized. The record is from RefSeq and is a predicted model, not a curated record. The transcript has 3 exons. NCBI's taxonomy places the organism in Eukaryota, Metazoa, Chordata, Actinopteri, Cichliformes, Cichlidae.